UAUACAGCACCAAGAUGUACCCCAGGUUCUCUUAUACCAUAUUUCCCCAAGGCACUUCUUGUUUGUGUGGGGGAUGGGGGAAGAGGAACAGAACUUAGAUGAGCCAGAAGAAAGGAAUAGUAGACCAGGAUGAGACAUGUCUGGAGAAAGGCUGCCUUAGGAUCCUCUGGGCUCUGAUUAGCUUCUGAGUGUGCUGGGGUGUGAAUCUUCCUUCCAGUGUGCGAGUGCUCCCUUGGCUCUGACAGCCCUUUAAAGGCCGCAGAUGCUCACCAGGUUUAAUUUCACUUCUAGCAAAAGCUCACCAGAGGAAAACAUCCGCAAGAAGACAGAAGGCAACAAGAAGUCAGAGGGCAGUAGGAUGGGGCAGGUGACCAGAAAAUCAAGAAGCUAAGCAAGCUACUGAGAAAGGUUUUGAUAGAAUUUCCUCUAACUUGCUGCAGAAGGCCUACGUGCCGAGGCCGGUACACCACAGUCUAUCUGAGCGCCGUGCUGUGGAGUGAGAUACCAGUGAGGAAACGGUAAACAAUGCAACUGUUAAGAUACUAACUCACUGGAUGUAAAUUUGAAGAACACUCCCAAACUGAUAUUUUUGGCAUAAGUAAUGAAUCAUCCCUAGUAGACCAAAGUCUGCGAGAAGUAUGACAGUAUUCCUUUGAGAAG
Molecule: non-coding RNA, 660 nt
Organism: Struthio camelus australis
Lineage: Eukaryota; Metazoa; Chordata; Aves; Struthioniformes; Struthionidae
Source: RefSeq, a predicted model, not a curated record